RNAcentral lists this ribosomal RNA (492 nucleotides) under uncultured bacterium. RNAcentral's name for it is "partial 16S ribosomal RNA". It matches the Rfam family "Bacterial small subunit ribosomal RNA", at positions 29 to 507 of the family's 1533-position model. The record is from RNAcentral.
AGUGAACGCUGGCGGUAGGCCUAACACAUGCAAGUCGAACGGCAGCACAGUAAGAGCUUGCUCUUACGGGUGGCGAGUGGCGGACGGGUGAGGAAUACAUCGGAAUCUACUUUUUCGGGGGGGAUAACGUAGGGAAACUUACGCUAAUACCGCAUACGACCUACGGGUGAAAGCAUGGGAUCUUCGGACCUUGCGCGAUUGAAUGAGCCGAUGUCGGAUUAGCUAGUUGGCGGGGUAAAGGCCCACCAAGGCGACGAUCCGUAGCUGGUCUGAGAGGAUGGUCAGCCACCUGGGAACGGAGACACGGUCCAGACUCCUACGGGAGGCAGCAGUGGGGAAUAGUGGACAAUGGGCGCAAGCCUGAUCCAGCCAUACCGCGUGGGUGAAGAAGGCCUUCGGGUUGUAAAGCCCUUUUGUUGGGAAAGAAAAGCAGCAGGUUAAGACCCCGCUGUUCUGACGGUACCCAAAGAAUAAGCACCGGCUAACUUCGUG